GGACUUUUGAUGAUGAGGUAUCACUCCGCCAGAAAAGUAGAGACCUGUGUAUGUGUUUCAUGUUUCCAACAAAGGUAUCACUCCGCCAGAAAAGUAGAGACCUGUGUAUGUGUUUCAUGUUUCCAACAAAGGUGGCCAAUAAAGGAUGAAACGAC
Molecule: long non-coding RNA, 155 nt
Organism: Nerophis ophidion (straightnose pipefish)
Lineage: Eukaryota; Metazoa; Chordata; Actinopteri; Syngnathiformes; Syngnathidae
Exons: 2
Source: RefSeq, a predicted model, not a curated record